This 425-nucleotide ribosomal RNA is filed under the name uncultured bacterium. RNAcentral describes it as "partial 16S ribosomal RNA". It matches the Rfam family "Bacterial small subunit ribosomal RNA", at positions 354 to 796 of the family's 1533-position model. The record is from RNAcentral.
GUGGGGAAUAUUGCACAAUGGAGGAAACUCUGAUGCAGCGACGCCGCGUGAGUGAAGAAGUAAUUCGUUAUGUAAAGCUCUAUCAGCAGGGAAGAUAGUGACGGUACCUGACUAAGAAGCACAGGCUAAAUACGUGCCAGCAGCCGCGGUAAUACGUAUGGUGCAAGCGUUAUCCGGAUUUACUGGGUGUAAAGGGAGCGCAGGCGGAAGGCUAAGUCUGAUGUGAAAGCCCGGGGCUCAACCCCGGUACUGCAUUGGAAACUGGUCAUCUAGAGUGUCGGAGGGGUAAGUGGAAUUCCUAGUGUAGCGGUGAAAUGCGUAGAUAUUAGGAGGAACACCAGUGGCGAAGGCGGCUUACUGGACGAUAACUGACGCUGAGGCUCGAAAGCGUGGGGAGCAAACAGGAUUAGAAACCCGGGUAGUCC